Molecule: transfer-messenger RNA, 414 nt
Filed under: Acetobacter persici
Lineage: Bacteria; Pseudomonadati; Pseudomonadota; Alphaproteobacteria; Acetobacterales; Acetobacteraceae
Rfam family: Alphaproteobacteria transfer-messenger RNA
About the family: Bacterial tmRNA, also known as 10Sa RNA or SsrA, is named for its dual tRNA and mRNA-like properties. Its role is to liberate the mRNA from a stalled ribosome. To accomplish this part of the tmRNA is used as a reading frame that ends in a translation stop signal.
Source: RNAcentral
AACCUUGCGCUGCCCGUCCGAUUGAUAUUAAAAGACGUUUGCCCGACCUGAUCGGGAUAUGGCGAUAAACGAAACGUGGAAUAAGCGUUGUGGACCAGGGGGCAGUACCCUGCAUCUCCACCAAUUUGACAGCCCCUCUUCCUGCAAAGGGAGAUCGCCUCGUUGUCGGAGGCUUGCCCGUCGGGCGGGGUUUCCAUGCUGCAUCACUUACCAACUCGGUGAGAGGCGGCAGGACAGUCUCGCUGGGGAUGAAAUAGGCUCGACACGCGUGGUAAAGACUUUUCCUUCGCUCGGCAUGGUACCACCGUUAUCGGGCUAAACUUAGAAGUGCCAACGACAACAGAGUUGCACUCGCUGCCGUCGCCUGACGGUAAGCGCGGUUUGGGGGAGCACCGGGCAACAGAAGCCCCCACC